UUUUGAUAGCCUCUCUACAACUUGUUCGUGAUGGAACACAUGGUAAAAAUCGAGUGAAAAUAGUGGAUAAAAUCUGAUAGAAUAUAGAAUGAUGCUGAAGCAACAGUGAUGUAUUAAAUCAAAAGUUAGAAUUGUAUGUCGUGUUUCAAAUUCGUUUGCAGUAGAAUUCUUUUGAUGAAAAUUCUUUUAAUGAAGAAAGAAUUUAAAAUGAAUUGCACCUAGAUAAAUAAAAAAGGAUAUAUUUCGAUUAAGGUUUAAUAACAAUAUUGCAAUUAAGUUAGAGGAACAGUGAAAAAUUGAUCUUGUAUGAUGAGAGUCUUGUUUGCUAAGGGAAAAAUUAAAUCAAUUCAUGGAUAUGUAAUUUGCAAGCUGCGAUUCAUAAAAAAGAGAGCACAAUCGAGCGAAACGCGUCGAACAAACAAAUAUUCCGAAGCUCCGCUCAUAAAAGCCUCGAUUCCACCGGGGUUGCUAUUCCAUCUUUAACGAAUCGAAACUUGUGAGAGGCGAGCAGAGCAUGGGCGGUCGGUGGCGCGUUAAAACACUUUCUUCGACAAAAGCCAUCGAGGCUCGAGGUCAGCCUCUUAACCCAGAUUCCGAGUCGGAAGGCGAGAAGACAGAAGCUCUCGGUUACACACGAUCAACGCGCUCAAUUCAAGAGAGUCCCUUAACCUCUUCGUCUUCGGAAACAUCCGCCUGCAACUCUUCGUUCCAAUGCGACCACCCCAAAAAGAGAAGACGAGGUAGAAACAAAAGAAAGAAACAUAAAGCAAGAAGAAAAGGAAGACAAAAAACGUAAAAAGAAAGGGAAAAAUUUCAGUAUAAGCGUAAUAACUACGGCGCGCGAUACAGCGACGGUAAAAGAAUGGUCCAAAUGAAGCCUCCUAAAUUUCAACACCCUCUUCGCUAGAGCGACCAGAGCUCCACAACGCCAUUCUCCGGCUCUCUUCCUCCGCCUUCGACUUCCCUUUGUCCGCUCUCUCGUUUUUUCCCCCGCUCCCUUUAGCCCUCGCCCCGUUUUCUCGAUACUCUCCCGGUAUAUCCAGCCUGUUCCUUUUCUUCCUCGGUCCUUUCGGCGGUCUCUGUCGGCGAGCCGAUGCCCUCGCAAUCAGCCGGCAAAGUGGAGUCGCGCGCGCGACGACGGCGUCGGCGGUGGCAGCGGUGGUAGCAAGCGGUAGCGGCGGCUGUGUGGCGGUGGCGUAUCCGUGAAACACGCGGUGCAAGUGCCGGGGUGGCGAUGACGCAAAGUCAGCGUGGGCCAAUGGACUGGCUGCUGUACGGGAGGUGUUCGGUGGGCCACGAUUGGGCGUGGCUCGAGCAGAGGGUGCGUCAGGGGUGCCACCGCCGACGUGGCUGCGUGGGGGAAUGCCAAAGUGUGCCCCGGGGUGUAAUAUCAUACCGCUAGGUGGAUAAAUAGACGCACGAAACUAGUAGGGACGAGUGGGGAACGAGUAACGAACGGAACAGCAGCGAGGAUGAGACGAGGAAGGAGAGGAGGGACGACUGGUGAAACUGGGGUGGGUCGCGGGGUUGGAGAAGAGUGAGAGAGUGAGAGAGAGAGAGAGGGGGGGGGGAUCUGGCUAAAAGAGUAACCAGAGGAUGACGGACACGCGAGAGAGGCAGCGCGUGGAGGAAUAGAGGAGAGUGGUAGAAAGGGCGAGAAAGGGAGAGGAGGAAAUGAGGAAAGGGUCGUGCACCGAGCGAGGGUUACUCAAGGGGGUUAGACGGAAAGACGGAGAGGCGAGACAAAGCGUGUUGGAACAGGACGAGGGAUCGGUUGCCAGAGGUAGAGUAGGGGAAAUUGGGUGGCUACGCGAUCCGAGCGAGACUAGACUAGAACAAAUAGUGGUUGUAGCCAUCCUCAGCUUCUGAGGUAUUUUCCACUCGUGCGAGUUGCACGCAUUCGAACGCCGGCCCAGGCUUGCUCACGGCGAACCGUGGAACCGUUUGUAUGCACAGGCCGUGUCGUGGCUUUCGUCGGAGGAUCGACGGUGGUGGCGGCUGCCGGUGAUGCUUAGUGGUGGUGGCGUUGCCGCUGGAAAAUGCCCAACUCGUCCCCGUGUUUCACGGCGAUACACCAUCCGUACACGACCGGCAUGUCGAAAAAUUGUUGCGGAUAAACUGUUUGGUAUUGUAAAGCAUUCGUUACCGGAAGGAACUAGCGAGUCUUGUUAAAUCACCAGAGAAAUAUAAUAAGAUUGCUUACGUUUAAGCGGCGAGGAUGGAGAAAUGAUAUUCUUGGUUUUUAUGGAGUAUCGUUUUCGGCCUUUUAGCUCGUAUUUUUAUGAUUAUCGAAGUUCGGUAGUACAAAUGGCAGUAGAAAUGCAAAAAUAUGGAUGCAGAUAAAUUAUUUUUGCGUUAUUCGAUCAAACAUCUUAAUUCCUCAAACGCUCUCACUUCUUUCAUGGUAUUCGAUCUCUUUUAUUAUCCAAUUAAUUCAAUUUAAACCUGCCGUUCUCCUCGGAUUUGUAUGGCCCAAAAUGGACCUUAUAUUUCAAUAGAUAUCCUUAAAAUAUAGAGAGUAUUUAAACUAUUUUGUUUUAGUAUCUGACAUAAUUUUACUGUUUUCCUUAUAUUCCACGCUUUUUAAAAAGCUUUAUAAAAUAUUCCUAUAAAAAGAAGAAGAUAUCCGAAGAGAUAUAAUACAAACGUGAAGGAGAAUAGGAAUAAAAUUAUUGAAUGUGCACGAAUGUUAUAUUCCCAAAGAACGAAAACUAAAAAGAAAGGCUAUAAACUCGAUAUCAAGAAGGAAACAAAAACGAUGUGGAAUGGUCAUCGAUCGUGAAACCUACAACCAAUCUGGAGUCAUCGUCGUCGAAGGCUUGCUUACCAUCCUGUCCGUAUCGUCUCGCAUGCGAUUUUGUAGAAUGCUGAGCACAGUGUGUAGCGAAACAGGAUGUUGUCAGCUGAAAUUAAAUUUUCCCCGUAGAGCCGGCGGGUCGCUCGGCAACCCGAUAUUGUGGGCGUUAAGCUACGUACACAAGCGACGACAGACGCAGACAAUGUCGCCGUAGAAUGGUUCGUCGGUGUUCACUUUGCCCGGUUUCGCAAAUCGCCUUAUUCUGCGACAGGAAAGAUGAUAAUUUGGUUGUUGCGCGUUCUUCGCGCGCUGCUGUUAAAUAUCCCGCCAUUUUGCUCCAGAACGCGUUAGAAAUAUUGUUUUCCAGCUACCUGGUUCUAUAUUGUCCCUAGCCAUGUGAAUAAUUACGAUGGACCUGUUUACAGGGUGUCUGGAUUUUAUUCGAUGAAACGAGGGUGUGAUGAUGAUGGAAAUCGAGAUAUGGUGGUUGUAGAAGGUGGAAUAUUUUUCGAUCGGUAAGUCGAGGCAACGAACAUAUAUUUAUUUAUAUUUUCCUGUGUAUAUAUCUAUGAUUAUGUAUCUUCUUUUUAUACAUCACGCUUUGUGAUUAUUUCUGAUACACAUAUAACUGAUUAUAAUUAUUUAACGUAACUAAUCGAUGGACUAUUUCUUAAGUAAUUUAAAUGAAAUACACGUACAAUUUUUAAGCAAUAAUAUGAUCAAAGGGAGUGCCCAUGGUUUCAAUAAGGAAAUCUAAAUUAGUCUUUACGGUACAAGUGGAACAAAAAUAUAAAAGACGUACCGCUCCAAUACUGUAUUUAUAAUAUAUAUGUUUUAAGGAUGCUUUGAUAGUUCCAGGUAAAAUUCUAUAAUGUUGAACUGUUUAAUGACGAUAGCGGUGUCUAUAGAAUAUUAAGAAAUACGACUUCAAGUAUAUUAAUAUUAGAAAUUAUAACAGUUAUUAAGAGGAGAAAAAGUGAAUACCAAAAAUUUCCACCGAAAGUAUCCUUAUAUUUUUAACAGCGAAAUAACCACAGGGGAAAAGAGAAUCGAAAAUCGGAGAUUCACCAUAAAUACAACGGAUUUAAAUUUGAACGUUCAAACACAAGACGCUCGAAUACUAUCUUCUCUCUCGUUCCAUCCAAACUUCCCUUAAAAUAAUACGAUAUUAUGGCAGAUACAUUGACGAACUUCCCUCAAGUUGGCGAAACAAUCGCGUAAUUGUAAAAACAAGUGCAGCAACUGUACAAUAAGGGUACUUCGCUUACCCGGGAGGAUGAUCCCCGUUCAAGGUGAAUCGUUUCUUCCCCCCACGCGAGCAAUAUAAUACGAUGUAAUUAAGUUUAAUAUCGGAGAAGCUUAAAUACGCAAUUAACGUAAUGUAACGAGAAAGUUUGGUGGGCGUGUGUACACGCGACCAGCCGGGGCUGUAUCGUAAUUUCAAGCGAGUCAACGUUGUCUUCUUCAUCUCCCAGUGUUUUUCGCAUCCUUUGCUUGGUGCUCCUUUGUCCCUUCUUUCAACAGUUCUUCCAUCCCUCACCCCCUAUCCCCCGUUCCAAGCCCUGGUCCGUGAUACAAUCAACUUCAAGGGUGUAGAAGAAACGAGGUAGCCAUUUAUCCGCUACCCCAAGAGCAACCAAGCAAGGGAAAGUCCAAGAAAACUGAGUGUUCCGCCAUUGUCGUGACUUUUUAUAGGAACAAGUUCCCGGGAACAGAACGGGAUUUCGGUCUCUCCGGAAUCAGAUCAAUAUUUCUUUCCGAAGAUUGUUUGGUCUAAUUUGAUUUUAUUUAAUCUGGCAUGAAUUUUGAUUUACGAUUGUUUUUCAUAAAUGGAGAUAAAAGGGAUGUAGUGUCGUCGAUUUUGAGGAAAUUUACUUCCCUCGAAGAUUAAGCUUUAUGAAAAUUAUUGUUUUCUUUUUUAAUACAUCGGCGAAGGUAACUUUGGUUUUGUUAUGAAAUGCUCGAAUUCUGUUUGAAUUUUUUAAAACCAGUACGAAAUAAUUUCCAGUAAUAUGCGAUAGAUAUCUUCUUUAGUUCUAUGGUUAUAAUAAUAUCUUAUGACAAAAGAAUGUUUACCUAUCAAACCUUCUUAAUCUUUUGUUCGUGUUCAUUUAUCGUCCAGAAUCUUUACGGUCGUUGAGUGAUCAUUCCAGGGGUUUUACAUAUUCGUUAAUAGUUUAUUUAACUGUUUACCUUUUGUCGUAUUGCUUUUGUCAUAAAUAUAUCGAUCUGUGAAAUUCAAA
Molecule: long non-coding RNA, 5040 nt
Organism: Bombus huntii
Lineage: Eukaryota; Metazoa; Arthropoda; Insecta; Hymenoptera; Apidae
Exons: 3
Source: RefSeq, a predicted model, not a curated record